Molecule: ribosomal RNA, 225 nt
Filed under: uncultured bacterium
Lineage: Bacteria
Description: partial 16S ribosomal RNA
Rfam family: Bacterial small subunit ribosomal RNA
Source: RNAcentral
CACGUAGGGGCCAAGCGUUGUCCGGAUUUAUUGGGCGUAAAGAGCUCGUAGGCGGUUGGGUAAGUCGGGUGUGAAAACUCUGGGCUCAACUCAGAGACGCCACCCGAUACUGCUCUGACUUGAGUCCGGUAGGGGAGUGGGGAAUUCCUGGUGUAGCAGUGAAAUGACGUAGAGAGUGUGGAGGAAUACCGAUGGCGAAGGCAGCCUCCUGGGCCCAACACGUGA